RNAcentral lists this ribosomal RNA (341 nucleotides) under Anopheles messeae. RNAcentral describes it as "eukaryotic LSU rRNA". It matches the Rfam family "Eukaryotic large subunit ribosomal RNA", at positions 684 to 966 of the family's 3401-position model. The record is from RNAcentral. Lineage: Eukaryota; Metazoa; Arthropoda; Insecta; Diptera; Culicidae.
CCGCAGUCAUGGGCACUCUGGAGAAACCCAAAGGCGAAGAUAACACAACUGCUGUUUGCGGGAUUACGGGUGCACCACGGUCCUUCGCGGGACCGGCUAGCUGUGCGCCCCUCCAUCCCCGGGUGUUGCACCAAAUGGGGACCGCUCCGGCGGCGACCAUGCGACAUACCGUGAGCGCGUAGGAUGUGACCCGAAAGAUGGUGAACUAUGCCUGAUCAGGUUGAAGUCAGGGGAAACCCUGAUGGAGGACCGAAGCAAUUCUGACGUGCAAAUCGAUUGUCAGAGUUGGGCAUAGGGGCGAAAGACCAAUCGAACCAUCUAGUAACUGGUUCCUUCCGAAA